RNAcentral lists this long non-coding RNA (1262 nucleotides) under Homo sapiens (human). Its description in RNAcentral is "novel transcript". Lineage: Eukaryota; Metazoa; Chordata; Mammalia; Primates; Hominidae. The record is from RNAcentral.
ACUUGAUCCUUGUUUAUUGGGAGGAGCUCUCUGCUGCCCCAGGAAUGGGCUGAUUUCCUGAGUACACAUUAAUCUGAGCUCCCUCAGCCCUAGGGGUAGGGGGAUUGGGGGCACAAGAUGGGUGGAGCCAGAUAGGGAAGAUUCCCCCAGUGUUGUCCUGCUCCCAGUCCAGGUUUGGGACAAUGCCGGCAGCGUUUCCCUGUGUCUUUCCCCCACAAAGUCUCCAAGUCUUUCCUCAAAUGAUCGUCAAGGUUUGGGAGAAACAAUCUCUUCCUCUGCCCGGGUUGCGUGGAUCUCCAGUGGAAAGAUACUGCAUGACAUUGAAACAGCCGGUGUAUUAACUAAUGUAUAUGACAGUCCACCUCUGUAUGAUGAUGUGAAAGUGCAAUUUUUCUCUUCAGCUUUAUCUACCAAGAAAUGAAUUGGAUAAUCCACAUAAACAAAAAGCUUGGAAAAUUUAUCCACCAGAAUUUGCCGUGGAGAUACUUUUUGGUAUGGUUUCUGUGGAUUCUCUGCUCUUUGUGCUCUCCUCCCCACAUUGGUGGCUCCAUCUGGCACAGGGAAGCUUCUGGAUGUCAGAAGGUGGAUUCUCACUCUGUCACCCAGGCUGGAGUGUAGUGGCACAAUCUUUGCUCACUUCAACCUCUGCCUUCUGCGUUCGAGCAAUUCUCCUGCCUCAGCCUCCCGAGUAACUGGGAUUACAGGGACAGUAAGUGGUGUUUCCUGGGAGAUGCUACGGUGUUAUUUUUGCACUACAAGGGCUCUGAAGACUGCCAGGCUUGAAGUGAAGAACCACGUCACCUGCCUAUCCCAGCCAGGUGACAGUGGACAAGGGGCUUCACCUCUGAGCUGUUUUCCAGCUGUACUGGGCACAUUCCUCCUCUCACCCUGACUCACAAGGUGUUAGCAAUAAUGGACACUCCUCUAUCUUCUGCCACACUCUGAACAAUACUUCACUUCCAUCAAAUGGAUUCAUCCCAAAGGUAAUGCCCAUCGCUUCUGGAGGGAGAAAGGGAACGGGUCACGCAUGUGGAUGAUCAAAGGUCAGCUCCUGGUCAAUAUGAGAAGACUGGUUUCAGAAAAGUUGAGUGCUGAAGACUACAAAGCUGUUUGUAAGUUAUCAAGCUAGGAUUUGAUCCCAGGUCUGCCUGAUAAAUCCUGGACUCUUAACCAUGACAUAGGAGUGCCCUCUUGACUCCUAUGAUGGCAUAAAGAAUUGUAUCAGAACGGGUAAUCUGGCAUUAAAACCCCUGUGCCACAAC